RNAcentral lists this ribosomal RNA (429 nucleotides) under bacterium. RNAcentral's name for it is "partial 16S ribosomal RNA". It matches the Rfam family "Bacterial small subunit ribosomal RNA", at positions 355 to 776 of the family's 1533-position model. The record is from RNAcentral.
UAGGGAAUCUUCCACAAUGGACGCAAGUCUGAUGGAGCAACGCCGCGUGAGUGAAGAAGGUUUUCGGAUCGUAAAGCUCUGUUGUUGGGGAAGAAGGAUAGAGGCAGUAACUGGUCUUUAUUUGACGGUAAUCAACCAGAAAGUCACGGCUAACUACGUGCCAGCAGCCGCGGUAAUACGUAGGUGGCAAGCGUUGUCCGGAUUUAUUGGGCGUAAAGCGAGCGCAGUCGGAAUGAUAAGUAUGAUGUGAAAGCCCACGGCUCAACCGUGGAACUGCAUCGGAAACUGUCAUUCUUGAGUGCAGAAGAGGAGAGUGGAAAUCCAUGUGUAGCGGUGGAAUGCGUAGAUAUAUGGAAGAACACCAGUGGCGAAGGCGGCUCUCUGGUCUGCAACUGACGCUGAGGCUCGAAAGCAUGGGUAGCGAACAGG